AAAAGGUUGCUAUCCGAGAUCAAGUUUGUAGAUCUGAGGAUAGAUCUUCUCAAGAAGGAGGAGAUGAUGGACACCAUCCAGCCACAUCCAUUCCCCUAGCCAUGAAGAAGAAGAAGCAAUGGAUUUGAGGACAAAUCCUUUUCAAGAGGGAGGGGAUGAUGGAAGAGGCCCAAGCACAAGCCCACAUGCAAGCCCACCAAAGGGUAGAUUUGGGCCAACCAUAGAGUUAUGGCCAAGAGGAUCCAAGAAGACGUUCUUUUACAUGUUCAAAUGCCAUAAACUCUAGUGUAGAGUAGACUUUAAUUUCUUGUCAAAAUUAGCAUAGGAACUUUAUUUGUAAUUUUCUUAGAAUUAAUUUUUGCACCUAAAACACCAACCUAGGUAAACUUAGAGUUUCUAAAAAAACCUCUAAAUUUACCAAGGCCGAUCUAGAAAGC
This 437-nucleotide long non-coding RNA is filed under the name Phaseolus vulgaris (common bean). RNAcentral's name for it is "long non-coding RNA (PVUL_LNC000182)". The record is from RNAcentral. Lineage: Eukaryota; Viridiplantae; Streptophyta; Magnoliopsida; Fabales; Fabaceae.